CAGAAAGAGUGGAUCUGAGGCAUCAAACAAUGGAUGAGAGAAGAAAUUCAGACGAAUGGAUGAUAGAUUAUGCACUUCAACUGGCUGUUACAAACUUAGGUCCAGCCCGGAAGAAGAAGGUGGCUCUGCUUGUCGAAGCUUUCGAAACCGUCCUUCCAUUGCCUAUGUGUGAAAAACCUCUCAGACAUGGCACAUCAGCCUUCAAUCAUCUGAGUUUUAUUCAAGCAUGCAGCUAAUACUCUCACAGAUUACUUUGAGUAAUUAGGCUGCGAUUGAAUGAGAUUUGGACAUAAGAAAUCUUUAAUGGCCGGAUUGACGUAAGAAUUCCUUAACCAAGAAUUUAGUACUGAUAUAUAAGAGUGUGAUGUUUGUCUCCAUGAACAAUUCUGUUCUGCUUGUUAAAAAGGUGUGUCUGGCUUUAUAAAUGAUAUGAAUUGCUUAAACUACAACUGCUUUUAUGUAUUUUCUUCUAAAGUGAAAUCAAAUAUGUAUUUAUGUGUUU
Phalaenopsis equestris is the source of this 502-nucleotide long non-coding RNA. RefSeq lists it as uncharacterized. The record is from RefSeq and is a predicted model, not a curated record. The transcript is spliced from 2 exons. Lineage: Eukaryota; Viridiplantae; Streptophyta; Magnoliopsida; Asparagales; Orchidaceae.